RNAcentral lists this ribosomal RNA (433 nucleotides) under uncultured bacterium. Its description in RNAcentral is "partial 16S ribosomal RNA". It matches the Rfam family "Bacterial small subunit ribosomal RNA", at positions 29 to 507 of the family's 1533-position model. The record is from RNAcentral.
AACGAACGCUGGCGGCAGGCCUAACACAUGCAAGUCGAGCGAGGACUUUGGUUCUAGCGGCGGACGGGUGAGUAACGCGUGGGAAUGUGCCCUUCUCUACGGAAUAGCCCUGGGAAACUGGGAGUAAUACCGUAUACGCCCUAUUGGGGAAAGAUUUAUCGGAGAAGGAUCAGCCCGCGUUGGAUUAGGUAGUUGGUGGGGUAAUGGCCUACCAAGCCGACGAUCCAUAGCUGGUUUGAGAGGAUGAUCAGCCACACUGGGACUGAGACACGGCCCAGACUCCUACGGGAGGCAGCAGUGGGGAAUCUUAGACAAUGGGGGCAACCCUGAUCUAGCCAUGCCGCGUGAGUGAUGAAGGCCUUAGGGUUGUAAAGCUCUUUCAGCUGGGAAGAUAAUGACGGUACCAGCAGAAGAAGCCCCGGCUAACUCCGUG